AUGCCGUACGAUGAGCGGUACACACCGUACAUCCAGCAGGCAGGACUCCUCCCGUGGAUUCAGUUGGUCAGUCGGUCCACGCCGAACCUCAACUCUCCACUGGUGUUCUCUCUUGUUGAUCGAUGGAGGCCGAAGACACACCGUUUCCAUCUUCGGGCUGGGGGGAUGACCGUGACGCUCGAGGAUAUCUCCUUGAUCACCGGUCUUCCUAUCGAUGGGAAGCCUCUCUGUAUGAGCACCGAUUCUGAUGGGUGGCGCCAAUAG
RNAcentral lists this ribosomal RNA (264 nucleotides) under Triticum aestivum (bread wheat). Its description in RNAcentral is "partial small subunit ribosomal RNA". The record is from RNAcentral. Lineage: Eukaryota; Viridiplantae; Streptophyta; Magnoliopsida; Poales; Poaceae.